RNAcentral lists this ribosomal RNA (270 nucleotides) under uncultured archaeon. Its description in RNAcentral is "partial 16S ribosomal RNA". It matches the Rfam family "Archaeal small subunit ribosomal RNA", at positions 477 to 747 of the family's 1478-position model. The record is from RNAcentral.
CAGCACCUCAAGUGGUCAGGAUGAUUAUUGGGCCUAAAGCAUCCGUAGCCGGCUCUGUUAGUUUUCGGUUAAAUCUGUACGCUCAACGUACAGGCUGCCGGGAAUACUGCAGAGCUAGGGAGUGGGAGAGGUAGACGGUACUCGGUAGGAAGGGGUAAAAUCCUUUGAUCUAUUGAUGACCACCUGUGGCGAAGGCGGUCUACCAGAACACGUCCGACGGUGAGGGAUGAAAGCUGGGGGAGCAAACCGGAUUAGAGACCCGAGUAGUCC